GGAGAUAUUGCUCAGCAGUAGAGUGCUUGCCUAGCAUGCACAAGGCCCUGAGUUCGAUCCCCAGUACCACCA
RNAcentral lists this transfer RNA (72 nucleotides) under Cavia porcellus (domestic guinea pig). It matches the Rfam family "tRNA". From Rfam's summary of the family: Transfer RNA (tRNA) molecules are approximately 80 nucleotides in length. Their secondary structure includes four short double-helical elements and three loops (D, anti-codon, and T loops). Further hydrogen bonds mediate the characteristic L-shaped molecular structure. tRNAs have two regions of fundamental functional importance: the anti-codon, which is responsible for specific mRNA codon recognition, and the 3' end, to which the tRNAs corresponding amino acid is attached (by aminoacyl-tRNA synthetases). tRNAs cope with the degeneracy of the genetic code in two manners: having more than one tRNA (with a specific anti-codon) for a particular amino acid; and 'wobble' base-pairing, i.e. permitting non-standard base-pairing at the 3rd anti-codon position. Lineage: Eukaryota; Metazoa; Chordata; Mammalia; Rodentia; Caviidae. The record is from Rfam by way of RNAcentral.